RNAcentral lists this unclassified non-coding RNA (225 nucleotides) under uncultured Gemmatimonadaceae bacterium. RNAcentral describes it as "contains 16S-23S intergenic spacer region". It matches the Rfam family "Bacterial small subunit ribosomal RNA", at positions 976 to 1197 of the family's 1533-position model. Lineage: Bacteria; Pseudomonadati; Gemmatimonadota; Gemmatimonadia; Gemmatimonadales; Gemmatimonadaceae. The record is from RNAcentral.
UGGGCUUGACAUGCACGGGAAAGCCUCUGGAAACAGAGGCCCCUCUUCGGAGCUCGUGCACAGGUGCUGCAUGGCUGUCGUCAGCUCGUGUCGUGAGAUGUUGGGUUAAGUCCCGCAACGAGCGCAACCCUUGCCCUUAGUUACCAGCGAGUUAUGUCGGGGACUCUAGGGGGACUGCCGGUGCCAAACCGGAGGAAGGUGGGGAUGACGUAUCCUUCCAUCACA